This 253-nucleotide ribosomal RNA is filed under the name uncultured bacterium. Its description in RNAcentral is "partial 16S ribosomal RNA". It matches the Rfam family "Bacterial small subunit ribosomal RNA", at positions 524 to 776 of the family's 1533-position model. The record is from RNAcentral. RNAcentral also lists the same sequence under 1 other name.
UACGUAGGUGGCAAGCGUUGUCCGGAUUUACUGGGCGUAAAGAGCGCGCAGGCGGUCAGAUAAGUCGAAUGUGAAAGCCCCCGGCUCAACUGGGGAGGGUCAUUCGAUACUGUUCGACUCGAAGGCAGGAGAGGGAAGCGGAAUUCCCGGUGUAGUGGUGAAAUGCGUAGAUAUCGGGAGGAACACCAGUGGCGAAGGCGGCUUCCUGGCCUGUUCUUGACGCUGAGGCGCGAAAGCUAGGGGAGCAAACGGG